This 253-nucleotide ribosomal RNA is filed under the name uncultured bacterium. RNAcentral's name for it is "partial 16S ribosomal RNA". It matches the Rfam family "Bacterial small subunit ribosomal RNA", at positions 524 to 776 of the family's 1533-position model. The record is from RNAcentral.
UACAGAGGUGGCAAGCGUUGUUCGGAAUUACUGGGCGUAAAGGGCGCGUAGGCGGCCUUGUAAGUCCCGUGUGAAAUCCCUCGGCUCAACUGAGGAACUGCACGGGAAACUGCUUGGCUUGAGUUCGGGAGAGGGAAGCGGAAUUCCGGGUGUAGCGGUGAAAUGCGUAGAUAUCGGGAGGAACACCAGUGGCGAAGGCGACUACCUGGCCUGUUCUUGACGCUGAGGCGCAAAAGCUAGGGGAGCAAACGGG